AAAGAAAAAAUAGAAAAAGGCGCCAUUAAAAGUAGUAACCAACAUAUACUUUAACCGAUGGCUCAAAAACUUCGUUCUCUUAACAGGUGUGGGUUUCCUCGCAAUUGUCUUGCAAAUUUGCGAGGGAAAUAUUCGUCGCAAAGUUUGCGACGGAAUAGCGAGUUGGUCCUGUUCUUUCGGAGAGAUCUAUUCGUCGGCGAAGAAGAGGUUUGUCGGAGAGAUCUAUUCGUCGGCGAAGAAGAGGUUUGUCGGAGAGAUCUAUUCGUCGGCGAAUUUGAGGUUUGUCGGAGAGAACAAUUCAUCGGCGAAUUUGAGUUUUAUCGGAGAGAACAAUUCGUCGGUGAAAACGAAGAGGUUUGUCAAAAUGAAACUGAAACCUU
Molecule: small RNA, 380 nt
Filed under: Arabidopsis thaliana (thale cress)
Lineage: Eukaryota; Viridiplantae; Streptophyta; Magnoliopsida; Brassicales; Brassicaceae
Description: ATSL156060
Source: RNAcentral